AGAAUUUUGAGACUCCCCAUGAGUGUGAUGACGUCACAUGUUAAAGUUUUUUUGUUAAAGGUUAUUCCUGUCAAUGUUGAUCAGACUGUUUCCUCCAAACUCUCAAUGCUUCAUGAUAAAAAUUAUAUACACUCAUAUAUCACAUGUAUAACUAUAUACUAAUAUAAUCAAUAUGUAAUCCAAUAACUCUAUAUCAGUAGUUGCAGCAAAGCUUAUGGUAACGCAAGAAACCACAGUAUCCACUGUAGAAAAAAGGCAAACGCAGAAGGCUUAAGAAAAAUCAUACUUACUCAUUAAGCAGAAAACACUAAUCGAAUAAUAAUUCCAGCAGAUAACACUAACCAAAAGCUAAUCAUAUAUUACUAAAAAUAUAAUCCAAAAAAACUAACAAAACGUUAUUACCCAAUAGAAUAUGCUAGAAAACUAAUACUUUACAGUGACCCCUGUGUAACCUGAAUAAAAAGAAAAAGUACAGGAGGCUAUAACUCUGUGAACUUGUAUGUGUAAUGGAAAAUACAGAAAGCAAUGACGUGUAUGCAUAGGGAAAAAGUACAGAGUAAGGGAAAAUUGGAAAAAUACAGACAGCAAUGACGUGGUGUAUGCGUAGUGGGAAAGUACAAAGUAAGGGAAGAUUGGGGUACCUGUCCACUGAUGAAGAUUAAUUAAGAACAUCAAUAGAUUAAUUAAGAACAUCAAUAGAACCAAAAAUCAGUUUUGGGGCACCUGUCCACUAUGAUAAGAUUAAUUAUUGAUACAUUAAGAACAUCAUAAGGACCGAAAAUCAUUUUUGUGCCAAAAAAGUCAAGUUGACCCACGAACAGGAAAGUGAAACUCCUUACUGUGCCUGAUAUUUUUAGAAAUAUGUUAAAGGGGGGUUUUGGGCACAAUUUGUGUAUAAAAUGUAUGCAAAACUGACAAUCGAGGUUCAAUUCUGCUGAAUUGAUCCGGCUUUGUGCACCUGUGCAAUAAAGUCUGAACUUUCUGAAGAGCUUGCUGCUGUUGUGUCUUUUCCCUCCUGAAAUUGUUUUCUACAGAUUGGCGAUUGGCGUGGAACUCUGUCGUUUCCUAGACACGACAUUUGGGGGCUCGUCCGGGAUACGAAAAAGGUACCAUCCUUUCGUAAAACCAACCCGGACACUAACACCGAAAAUUGAGUGAAAGAAAAGCAGCGAGCUCUUCAGAAACGUGCGCUACGAACCAAUGGAGCAAGCCACUGGAUCAGGGUGCUGGAGGAGGAGACGACAGGCCGGAUCCUGGCUGUGGGGGACCUGAAGGCUCUCCUGGGAAAGGUUGUGGGGAUGGAAACAAUGCUGGACAUAUUUGAGCAGGCUGGCUUUGACAGAGACCAUGCGCAGUCGCCAGCAGUGGACGGUGGGCCAUUUGAUAACGUGCGUGGGGUUGUUUGGACUGCUCUGUGAGCCCUGUAUCCCGCACGACUGGACAUGGCGGCCUUAACGGGACCGCCGUUAAAAGACAAUGAACCACCGGCGACAUACAUCCACACGUAGUUGCACAGGUGGAGAUUGAUAACUAAAAGGGACGUACGGGCAGAUCCCAUAAUGACCACCCUCUUCCGCAAAGCCAUCCAGGAGGGGAUGUCACCGGAAGUGGGGCGCCGCCUUGAUGAGGUGGUGGGACUGAACACCAUGACACACAGAGAGUUUAUGGAUCAUGUGGUGCACGCUGUGGACAGGCAGCGGAAAGAAGGGAAAAAGCUGGAAGAUCAAACAAAAGACAUUCAAAGGAAGCUACUGCAGUUGCAGCUGGAGGAGCUGAGAGCCAAAGAAAAAGAGGCGGAAAAAGUGGCAUCUGCGAAAAUACAGUAUAUGGACAAUGAAUUCUUUAACUUCGAAGCCACCCCCCCGCCUGAACCAUGGAGCAGCCUGAUGGUGCCUCGGCCAGCGGUGAUGUACAACUUCUCCGGCAUCCCUCACCCAGUGGCCAUGCAAGGUAAUAUGAAAGGGGGGGGCACCCAACCAGGGGACCUGGGUACCUAAUCAGCCUCAGCAAUCGCAGGGUUACCCCAACUUGGCCCCACCUCCCCAGGCUAGGCCCCCAUAUCAGAGUAUGGAACCUGUAAAUUACCAAGGUGCCCAAUAGGGGUGCCCAGAGAACCCAGGCAGAGUAGGGCAGCAUGUAAUGAUAACAAACGGGCCAGAACAAGAGCCUAUAAUAAAUGUACAAAUCGGAGAAAAAAUUGUCCCUAUGAUGAUAGAUACUGGAGCAACAUGUACAUGCAUUAAGAAAGAAUAUGCUUUACAUCUGCCACUGUCGGGAGAAGUUAUUCAAACAGUAGGGUUCUCUGGGAAAACAAUGUUAAGCCCGACCACAAAACCGGCAUUAAUAAAAAUAGGCGCAAAAGAAGCAAAAUUAGAGGCCGUAAUAGGGGAUAUUAAGACACAAGUAAAAGACCAAGUGUGGUACCGUGGGAAGAGAAAUCUCAAAAGUGUGGUGUUGCAAUAUGUUGAUGACUUAUUACUAUGUGCAGAUACAAAAGAACAGUGCAUAAGGGGGGCAAAGGGGGGACACAAGGUGUCCAGGAAGAAGCUGCAGCUCUGCUCUCAGAAGACGGGGAGAGCAGAGGGACUGCGGGCGCUGACACCAGCCCAGGGAGCAACAGCACCAACAGUGCCCCUGCGGGUCCAGUGCGAGAAUCGCAGGCCGGCUUUCCAGUGGAGUGACGCGCAGACCGCGUACUCUGGAUUGGAAGAUAUACCAGGAACCUACCACCUAUGAGGACUGCAGCAACACAUCGUGCUACGAAUCAACGUGUUAAGAAAUUGUGUAUAAUAACUUUGUUGGGUCAUUUAGAAUAAUAUAUACAGCUUUGAUAUGUAUAAUCAAUUUUUUGCGACUAGAGAGAGUGUUGGAGGAACCAUGGGAACAACGUUACAUUGAGGAAUCUGAUACAUUUGGAUGCUGCUAUGGCAGCAGGGGAUGCGCAGGCACCCAACAUAAUAUACAUGGGGUGGUGCACACCCGACACUGACUGACGCUGAGAAUAAGAAUACAGCGAGGGGUGUUUUUCGGGGCCAUGAGGUUUGACCCCGAAAGGGGGGAAUGUAGGAGAAUUUUGAGACUCCCCAUGAGUGUGAUGACAUCACAUGUUAAAGUUUUUUUGUUAAAGGUUAUUCCUGUCAAUGUUGAUCAGACUGUUUCCUCCAAACUCUCAAUGCUUCAUGAUAAAAAUUAUAUACACUCAUAUAUCACAUGUAUAACUAUAUACUAAUAUAAUCAAUAUGUAAUCCAAUAACUCUAUAUCAGUAGUUGCAGCAAAGCUUAUGGUAACGCAAGAAACCACAGUGUCCACUGUAGAAAAAAGGCAAACGCAGAAGGCUUAAGAAAAAUCAUACUUACUCAUUAAGCAGAAAACACUAAUCGAAUAAUAAUUCCAGCAGAUAACACUAACCAAAAGCUAAUCAUAUAUUACUAAAAAUAUAAUCCAAAAAACUAACAAAACGUUAUUACCCAAUAGAAAUAUGCUAGAAAACUAAUACUUUACAGUGACCCCUGUGUAACCUGAAUAAAAAGAAAAAGUACAGGAGGCUAUAACUCUGUGAACUUGUAUGUGUAAUGGAAAAAUACAGAAAGCAAUGACGUGUAUGCAUAGGGAAAAAGUACAGAGUAAGGGAAAAUUGGAAAAAUACAGACAGCAAUGACGUGGUGUAUGCGUAGUGGGAAAGUACAAAGUAAGGGAAGAUUGGGGUACCUGUCCACUGAUGAAGAUUAAUUAAGAACAUCAAUAGAUUAAUUAAGAACAUCAAUAGAACCAAAAAUCAGUUUUGGGGCACCUGUCCACUAUGAUAAGAUUAAUUAUUGAUACAUUAAGAACAUCAUAAGGACCGAAAAUCAUUUUUGUGCCAAAAAAGUCAAGUUGACCCACGAACAGGAAAGUGAAACUCCUUACUGUGCCAGAAAAGACCAGAUGGCUGAUAUUUUUAGAAAUAUGUUAAAGGGGGGUUGUGGGCACAAUUUGUGUAUAAAAUGUAUGCAAAACUGACAAUCGAGGUUCAAUUCUGCUGAAUUGAUCCGGCUUUGUGCACCUGUGCAAUAAAGUCUGAACUUUCUGAAGAG
Molecule: long non-coding RNA, 4074 nt
Organism: Anguilla rostrata (American eel)
Lineage: Eukaryota; Metazoa; Chordata; Actinopteri; Anguilliformes; Anguillidae
Exons: 2
Source: RefSeq, a predicted model, not a curated record